UACGUAGGUGGCGAGCGUUGUCCGGAUUUACUGGGCGUAAAGGGAGCGUAGGCGGACUUUUAAGUGAGAUGUGAGAUACUCGGGCUCGACUUGAGUGCUGCAUUUCAAACUGGAAGUCUAGAGUGCAGGAGAGGAGAAUGGAAUUCCUAGUGUAGCGGUGAAAUGCGUAGAGAUUAGGAAGAACACCAGUGGCGAAGGCGAUUCUCUGGACUGUAACUGACGCUGAGGCUCGAAAGCGUGGGGAGCAAACAGG
This 253-nucleotide ribosomal RNA is filed under the name uncultured bacterium. RNAcentral's name for it is "partial 16S ribosomal RNA". It matches the Rfam family "Bacterial small subunit ribosomal RNA", at positions 524 to 776 of the family's 1533-position model. The record is from RNAcentral.